UUCUGAUUUCUGGAAUUUUUAAAUAUUCUUAAAGACUAUACCUAGGUACUUGUAUUUUAAAAUACUUAUAUUUUAGAAUAAUUUAAAAAACCCCUUUUUUGUGUAAUUUUUUAACAAGAUGAUUUUUUUACAAUGCAGUUGAUAUUUAAUCCAAACCAAAAUUCAUAAAAGUAGUUUUUGAAUUCUUAAACUAUAUUUGUGAUAAUAAGAUCUAUAAUAAUAGUACUUCAUAAACGGUCUUACAAAGAACAUGGAAAAAAUGGUUUGAAAUCGUGAUUGGACCAGUGCGGCAGGCCGGUUGCAACAACUAAGUCUGGGCCGCAGGAUGAGCAUCACAUCGGAGCGUCGUUUAUCAAGGAAACCCAACAAAUAACAAUAUAAUACGACCUAUACCUGUGGUGUAGUCGGGCGGGUCGAUUUAUAGAAACCUGUUGUCCGAGUG
Long non-coding RNA from Aphis gossypii (cotton aphid), 442 nucleotides. RefSeq lists it as uncharacterized. NCBI's taxonomy places the organism in Eukaryota, Metazoa, Arthropoda, Insecta, Hemiptera, Aphididae. The record is from RefSeq and is a predicted model, not a curated record. The transcript is spliced from 3 exons.